AUCGGUCUCAUUUUUCCUUCCACGCUCCGGGUUAAGGCGCACAUUCGCCACACAACAAUCGAAGACAGCCCUCUGGUUGGAAUGUGCUUCGGCUCAAAGAUGUGUGGUGUUUGGAGAAUGCACGGAGAUCAUUCCUGCAAUUACAGCGAUCCUCCAUGUAGAGAUCGAACCCAGGGGCACUUGACCAGUCCCAUUUUUGUCUCCACAUCUCGUGACCUAUCCUGAGGAAUUUGAUUAUCUCCAAGAGUGAAUGCAGGGUUUCCUGAUAACGACAAAUUUUUCCAUUUUAUGAAGCAACUCAUUUCCAUAUACUGCUGAAAAUACUCCAGCAUUAGCAGGUGCUGUUACCAAUGUCUACUUACUGGUUCAAAGGUCUAGCAUCUUGUCUGGAUUCCAAGAAUGAUUUGAGAGAAAGCAAGUCAUAUCUGCCUAACUUCAACCUGAAGUUAAAGCCCCCAAGUCUGAGGAAAGACAAGAUGAAGAUAAAUGCAGGCAUCCAUCCAAGUCUUGGAGGACAUCAGAUUUCCAGAUCUUUCCUUGUGCAUCCUAGCUGUUCAAGUUAACACACAAUCAUUUUGAUCUUCCUAAUAAAGCUCUUUUUCUUAA
Marmota flaviventris (yellow-bellied marmot) is the source of this 606-nucleotide non-coding RNA. NCBI's taxonomy places the organism in Eukaryota, Metazoa, Chordata, Mammalia, Rodentia, Sciuridae. The record is from RefSeq and is a predicted model, not a curated record.